GCUGUCCUUCUUUCACAAUCACUGGAAAUCCUUCACUAGUGAAUCCCAGUUUCACAGGAGCACCCGUCUUCUAUCCGACAGCCCAAGUCAUGCAAAAAGGGGGAAAAUACACAGCAGGUCCUACCUACAGUCUGCCUUCUGGCUGGCGGCUAUUGCAAGAAUACAGAGUGGCCCAAUCUGGACCUGCAGAGUUAACAUGUCCCUCCCGCCUGCCCCUCCUGUGAGUCUUAUCUUUAGGCAUUUGGCUCAAGGCCUGGAGAACUUGUCUGGCACAGUCAGACCCAGGACGUUGGGGACACACGGAGCCUGGGGAGGAGCAGCUUCUGCAGGGCGCUCCCCACCCCGCGGUGGGAAUGCUGCAGACUUGACAGCCCGCCUUUGGGAAAGGGCCAGCCACCACGCCACCCUGCUGCAGGGCCCCGGGCUUCCCAAGGUGGAGGUGACGCUGGCCAGGGGCGGGGCAAGCGACAGGUGUCCCCACUCACCUCCUGCCACUGCUCGGCCCUCCAGGUGAAGCGCGGGCACGGCGGGCCCUGGCAGACGCGCUCAGACGCGGGUCGCAGGAAGGGGUCGCACUGGGUGUCGCGCGCUGGUCUGUGCGUCCCGAUCUGACAGCUCACGCGCCUCUGCUGCAUGCCGGGGCCACAGGACGCCGAGCACUGGGAAGACAGAGGACGUAAACAUUUCGCUGUUUGUGCCCUCGACCACAAGACACAGAGCACUGCAACAUAAAGCAACGGCAAGGUUGUUGUUGAAUCACAUGGAGGUGGUAAAGCCUGCCUGAGAGACAUCAAGGUCAAGAGCGCGUCUAACCAGAGUCACCAUGCCCUCCUUUUCCAGAGCCACUUUGGAUCCUAUCUCAAGGCUCCACUGGGAAUACAGAGAAAAAGCUCCCAUGUCUCCAGUCCAUUGGGAGGAGAUGCAAAAGGCCAAUGGAAAACCGGAAGAUGCAGUAGCAGAUUAGGUUUCUCAGAAAGGUUCAGGAAUCAAAGUGCCCACGGAGUCUGGACAAAGAUCUGAUCUGACAGCUUCUGUGGACCAGGCAAGAGGCUGGCCCUAAUCAGCGCACCGAGACAGUCAACGUCCACCGCCUCAUUAGCGGUUCCAGAAGUCAUUACCGCUGGAUCCUAAGCUGCUGGCUCAGCCUCCAGAGCUGCUGGGAUGACAGGCGUGGGCCACCAUACUCGGCGACAAUUUCUUAAUCAUUAAGAAGCCAGCAAAUAACCCCGUGUGUUUGGGUGAGAAGACCUGGAGACUUAAAGAGAACAAGAUCCCCAAGGAUACUGCUGAGGCCUGGGACCUCACCAUGAAGAUGGAGUCACACACAGAGUUGAUGAUACCAAUACGGGGACCUCUCAUCAACAAACAGAAAACUAAGGGAAGACAUGGAAACCAUUUCAGGAGCCCUCCCUCCUGCUGGCUGCGGGAGUGUCUCUGAAAAUUGUGUCUGGAGGACAGGGAGGGGCAGGGGCGAGACGCCCCCAGGAUCCUGACUCUCAGCUGUUCCAAAGGUCUCCCCUUACUCUAGAACAUAAGCUUGAUGAAUUCAAGUUUUUCUGUGUGUGUGUUUAUUCAAUUGACGGUGCCCGGUGUAUGGAAACGCUCGACUAAUGUAAUUCACAAACAAAUGCAUCCAAUAAUAGUCUAAUAGAACCUAAAGCCACUUAUCCCACCAUAAUACAUAAGGACGAAGUAAAGAUUCCGCCCAAUGCACCAUUUAUCCUAAAGACCAGUGCUACAGCACCUUGCUCCUCUCCCUGAAGAAUCUGACCACCGCCACCACCAUCUGCAAAAAUCUCCUAAGUGGCUCUAAUCAAAUCUGAUCUGUCCACCUAAUUACCUAGAUACCUACUGGGAAGCAUUCAGAUUUAUUUUCUUGAUUUUUUUUCUGUUUCUCUUCAUAUAUUAAAAUGUCAGAAAUAACAACCCAAAGGGUGCUUAAUAAAUACUGGAUGAGUUUCUCUUGAAA
Marmota monax (woodchuck) is the source of this 1969-nucleotide long non-coding RNA. RefSeq lists it as uncharacterized. The record is from RefSeq and is a predicted model, not a curated record. NCBI's taxonomy places the organism in Eukaryota, Metazoa, Chordata, Mammalia, Rodentia, Sciuridae. The transcript is spliced from 9 exons.